Long non-coding RNA from Sinocyclocheilus anshuiensis, 1994 nucleotides. NCBI's taxonomy places the organism in Eukaryota, Metazoa, Chordata, Actinopteri, Cypriniformes, Cyprinidae. The record is from Ensembl.
AAAUGGUCACAAGCAGAGAAGUAUAAUGCCAAACUGAUUUUAUUUAAAAACAAGUCUGUCUUUGUAAUAGUGUGAUAUAGUCAAUAUUUAAAAAUUUUCGAUUUUGACAUCUAGCAUAAUGUAUAAGUUGCAAAACGUUUAAACAAUAAUUUAAGCCAAUGUUUAAACUGCAGGUAAAAUGGAUUUCCAGCUUAUUUUACUGUUGUUUAAGAAUUACAGCCAGAAUUAGUGCUGUUUGUUUUUCCAUUAGAAAAACAGAGCCAGGUAAUAUGAAUGACUGAAAUCAACAGAUUUCAAUUUGUAUGCCCAUGCAUCUCCUUCAAUAAUAAUUUUUCUGUUGUGUAUAUAGUUAAACCGGCUAUAAAGAUGAGUGCUGCCGUCUCUGUCUGUCCAGUUCAAAAGCACACGGCAACCCUGCCUACAUCAAGCACCCAUUCCUUUCAUGAAAUUACUCAAUCAUAACUUUCCAUCACUACAGAAUCUUAAAAAAACUAAUAAAAAAUCAAUAUGGACACCAUGAGGACCAAAAAAAAAAAAGGAGUCUCAGGUUUUGAGCAGUUGGCUGUCUGCAAAAAAGCAAAUAUUACAUGUAAAUAAUGUGGCAGAUUGUAACAAAUCAAGCACUCUGAAUCUGUACACAGUAUACUAGUACUCUGCAAUAAUACUAACUGCAUAAAGACAAAACUGAAAUAUUCUUGCAUUGUUAACCAGUAACACAAACAGAGUGAAUAUGAAGUUGCAACUGCACAUUCAACCAAUGUACCACAGAGGGGGGAAAAACUGACCACGUUCACAUAGUAUACUUCCCAUUUAGUCUAGUGCAAAUAUGGUCCCACCUACAAAAAAGUGCAGGUUGAAACAAAGAUACAUGGCACAAGAAAAAUCUCAUGAGAGGAUUUGUGAAGUGCUCGUUAUGCUCCGCUCCUUAUGGUAAUUCCUCAUUUGCACUGAUAAAGUUCAAGGUUUUUUUCACACAUGGGAUGCAAAGGUUUGAGAUGAAGUACUCAGAUAUUUCCCUCUAUAACUCCAUGUCUUCCUCUCCAGAGUUGAGGAGCGCUGGGCUGCUGAACAGGGGGCUAAAAGUCUGCUCAUUGGGUGCAGUGAACUGGGGCUGGGGUGGGGGGCUGCUGAUAGGCGGUACAGGGGUGGGAGUCUGUCUGCUCACUGCCAACUGCUUGCGCUGCUGUCUCUGUAAAGAGUCCUUCAGCCUCUGGGUGAGAGGGUCCUCUGGGGGGCGCCACAACACCAAUUCCAUACAAGAGCAGCUCCUGCAGAGUCUCCUCUGAGUGGCCUCUACCUCCAUGCCUGAGCCUUCUGUGGGAACUCUGGGUAGUGGAGAGGGAGUGGCUGUGAAGGGCAGACCCAUCUCCUCUGUCCUGGGUUCAGUCUGCAGUUGAACCGGGCUGGUCUCAGAAGGGGAAGUGGUGGUAGAGUCCACAGACCAUCUUUGGCUCACUUUAGGACUUGGAUACUCAUCUGCUCCUUCCUUUCCCAUCAGCUUUCGCUGUUUAGGACUGCAGCUUCUGUAGGGGAAAAAGGUCAUGAAAAACCCACUGCAGCACAUGGCAAAUCUCAUGAGUGAAAACAAUUUACUUACUCAUCAUCUGUCCUUCUCCUCUGCUUCCUCGUGCAUCUUCUAUCCCAGCUUUUAAGUUUAAAUGCACAGACAAAUAAGAUGUGAAGUCUUCAUUUAAUUGCAUAAACGAAGACUGUAUGAUAGCACAAGACACGUAUACUUACGUAUUUGGCAUAGAUCCACCUGUUAGAUGAUGCAAGUCUCUGGUUGGCUUGCUAAUUGUGCCCAAAUCAGUGUUACUAAAGUGAGCAAGGGGGGAGAAUGUGAUGAACUCCAGCUCGCUGCUUCCUGACCUGGUGCUCUGCAUGGUCCUUCAGCAGCUGAAGAUGAGCUGAAAACAUCAGAAUUAAAUAGCAACUGCAGUCACGCAGUGUGAAUAGAAGUAGAAGAAUCUGGAAAACAGAAAAAUGAAUAAAUC